AAUUCACCAAAGUUGUGGCCACUGGAGAGAGAAGAAAUGAAACUGACAGGGAGAGCCAGAUGGGACUAGAAUUUUAUCUGAAAUGUUUGAUUUGUUUGUCAGAAAAAGACCUUAAAGCAACAGUAACCAACUGUUAACAAUUAUCCAUUAUUGGUGCUGAGUCCAUGGAUGUUUGUUUUAUAAUUCAUUUCAAUUUUUUGUUAUGUUUCAAAAACUUAAAUACAGUCCCAGGAGAAGAAGAGCUACUUCAGAAGUCCUAUCUGAUUGAUGGGUAAGGGUGGGGAUGCAGGUGAGAGUUUGCCCGCUUCUUCCCUUUGAAUGGCCCUGGAAUAAACUAAGCUCCAGUUCAUGGGAAAGAAAAGUAACACAAUAAAUCCAAGUGAUAGGCAAUUAUAGCACUGCAACCCUCAUAGGAACCAGUAGUAUAAUUUUUUUUUUUUGCUAAAAAUCAGAUACAAAAUAUUAAGCAAAAGAAAAUUCCACAUGUGUGUAUUCAAAUUCAUUUAAUUAAACUUUCAGCAAACAUUGCCAAGUACCUUCCCCUGUGGCUGGCAGUGUGCUAGGUGGAAAGAAUACAUAAAUAAGACACUUCCUUGGGAUAAAGCACCAAACCUGCAUUUUAACUGAUCAUAGACUCUGACCUCCCAGUUUCUCCCCUGAGUCCACUUUUGUAAGUAUUCCCCACAAAAAAAUCCAGAGAAUUGGGUAGUAUUCUCUUCAAUCAACAAAUUCCUACAUUGAGAGUAAGCUGGUCCAAGGUCAUUGCCAAUUAGUAAAUGGCAAUGUUUAUUCUCAUACUCAGAUUUCUGACAGGAGAUUCCACGUUGCUAGAGCAGACAUUGGAUAUUCGAAAAGAAGUGAGAUUAAUGCUCUUUUGAUGUGUACAGUGUUCUGUAAAAAGCCCAACUUUCCAACCUUUCCUUUUGUCCCUGAAACUGAGAAAUAAAACUAUCAGUGGAACUAAAAGUCUUUGAAUGGCAGGCCUGCCUACCAUUUAACUUCUGUUCCCACUGGGUAGGAACCAUGCCAUCGAGUGGUUUGCUCUGUGCUGAGGGCGUGGAUGCUCAGGUGCUCAGAUGCCCUGGAGGCUCGCCUUGCACCUGCCAGUGAUGAGUCAUCAUCAGGGAGGUCUGUGCACACCUAACUGGCUUUUCUUCUUUCCGAGGACACCCCACUUCCACCAUGCAGAGUCCAAGGAGCAAGAUGCUGCAGGAUGUAGAACAGAGGCCUUAGACUCUCGAUGGCAUGGUUUCAUUCAGCUUCCUUUAUGACUUAGCAAGAAUGACCUUUCCAAUCCUUAAACCUCAUGGAUUGAAAAUGGUGCCAGUUCUGAGAUCACCAAAAUAGGCCCAAAUGAACAGACUAUUCUGGAUAACAAAGUAUUGUUGCAGGUUUUCAGUUGUGGUCUCUUGAUCCUCAAGGCAGUCCUGUGAUGCACAAAGAAAAACUCCUCAAACCUCAUUUUAUUAGGGGAGACUUGGAGAUGUUACAGGACACUCUAGUAAGUGCUCUCUGGUCAUCAGAGGUAUUUUUAGGCUGAAGAGCACACAUGGGCCUUAAUAGACCAUCCACCAACUAUCAUACUAGUAUCUGAUAAGAGUCUUCCAAAACUGCUUUGUGGUUUUGCCAGUUUCCUGAGUCCGGAAUGGUCAGCCUGACCCCUGCAGGCCCCAUGCAAACACUCUGUCCAAGAAUGAUACCUGGUCAGUAUGCAGGGGUAGCCACUGGAAGACCAAGGACCUCGGUCAGGUACUUUUUCUUAAUAGUAAUGCCCAGGAGUUCCUGCUGUGGCGCAGCGGAAUUGAAUCUGACUGGUAUCCAUGAAGAUGCAGGUUCAAUCCCUGGCCUUGCUCAGUGGGUCAGGAAUCUGGGAUUGCUGUGAGCUGUGGUGUAGGUCAUAGACAUGGCUCGGAUCCUGCGUUGCCGUGGCUGUGGCUGUGGCUGUGGUGUAGGCUGGCAGCUAUAGUUUCAAUUUGCCCCCUAGCCUGGAAACUUCCACAUGCCAUGGGUGUUGCCCUAAAAAAAGAAAUAAUAAUAAUAAUAAUACCCAAAGAGGUUCUUUCAACUCAGGACAGCGCAGAAGCAACUAAAAGAGCCAUUGUGAACAGAUGCAGCCACAAUGUGGAAUGAGUUCUGUCUCUGUCACUCAUAACUGAUGUGGGCACCCAGGCAUGCUCUCACCUCCGCAUGACACUCGGGUGCACACAGCCAGGCACAGGUGCAGCAUGCUGUGGGUGGCCCCUCUCUGCUUGGCCUUUCAACCCCACUCAGAUGCUCACCUUAUUCCAUACCUUCUCUCAGUGGCCUUCUCUGUGGAAGUACCAUGCUGGGUGGCACUGGCUUCCCUUACCGCUCUCCUAGUCUAAACCCCACCAUGCUCCGAUGUCAGCCUCCAUAUCCUGCCUCAGGGAGGCCUUCCAGCCCCUCCCCCUCUAGAUGCCCUUGAUCCCCACAGACUCCCACAGAGCCCACCUUCCUCCUUUUGUGACGUGUGAUGUGUCAGAUGUGUCAAUGUUGUCAUUGUCCCUGCUGGAGGAGAAGCCACAGGCCUGGGAGACCCCAGGAGUUCCUCAAGUGCAUAAGCUGAUAUUAAUAUUUUCACAAAGGUUCAAGUCCUGCACCCAGGGAAGUCCCACCACCCUCCUGCCCCACGACCAUAUCAGGCAAGGACUGUGCUCAUCCUGUCUUCAAUGCAUGGCGAAUUCAAGCUGGUACCCUCCUACUGUAUCUCACUGAUGUUGGCCAGAGUUAGGGUGACUUGUCUGGCUUUCCACUGUCCCCUGGCCUCUCAAUCCCACAUUCUGAUAGAAAAUUCUUUUCUCUGGCUUCACCACUAACCUUGUUUCUAAAUGACUAUGCUGUCUAUUUUUCUAUUUUUAUGUGACAUCCCACCACCUCCUUCUCCCUGGACCUUGGUUUCCCCAUCUGUCCAGUAAGAUAUUUGGAAAAUAAACAUCUCUAAAGUCCUUCAAGAUCCUUGGAUAUUCUGAAUCUAUGAAACAUCCCCUUAGUGGGUUGAGUAGCCCAAAGAAACAUCCCCUUACUUUAAGUGGUUAUCAUCUAAAAGCCAUGUAAGCAGCUUCAAUAAAUGCUAUUUACUAUACGCCAAAAAGUCCACUGCCCUGCUUGUUUUUCCCCUUUUAACCCACUCCAGGUGGUUGAACCUCCAACCCCGUGGGCCAUAGAGAAGAUUACUGCUCCUGUGGAGAUCCAAUACACAUUACUUGAUAAAAGCCAUACACAGGAAAGUUAGUGGUGAUUAGAAUCUAUUUGCCUUCACUUCAUCUUAUUACAGAUUAUGCUUGUAUAUUAACUUCAUAAUUCUCUGAUUACCAAGGAGUUCGACUGAGGUCCUGGGUCUCUUUAGUCCUCUUAGCCUUGUCCAGCUGAGCUCGUGCUGGACUGAACCAUCAUCACAGUAUUUCUCAGUUGGCGGCGGAAGUGAAAUGAUUCAUUCUGGGAACCUUGUCUCUGUUGCAGUAAACUAUUUGCAUACCGUGUGGAUUUGCACAGACCUAGCCUGUGGGAGGUCCUGGAAGCAGUUCGCUUUCACCCCCUUUCCUCUUGCAUCUGAGAAAUGACUGUCAAUUAUUCAGUAAGUGGUCCCCUCCGAGGGUUUUACAUCACUUCCUCAUGAAACAGACUUUAAUUUAGACAUUUUGAGACACAGUGUGGCACAGUGAUGGCAUACACAUCCUUGCGACAAGGGGGCUACGUUUCAGGCUGGUGGUUGACUUCGGAAGAGUUCCCUGAACUUUCUAAGCCUCCGCUUACUUAUCUGUAAAAUGGGAAUAACAACAAUGCCCGCCCGACAGGAUUGUUAUGAGAAUAAAGUGAAAUAUAUAAAUUGUAUAGCAUUUAGGAAGCAUUCAAUAUAUGUUAGUUUUCAUUAUUGUUAAUAUUAGUUAGUAUCUCCCGGGGGAAUAAUGGAAUGGCCGAGAGGCGGCAGAGUUUAUUUUGUGAAUAAGGAAAUGAAGCUACAGGAGCAGAGGUGACUUCAUACCCUCCAUAAACCCUGAUCAAGUACUCACCACAGGCCAGUCCCUCCAUAG
Molecule: long non-coding RNA, 4052 nt
Filed under: Sus scrofa (pig)
Lineage: Eukaryota; Metazoa; Chordata; Mammalia; Artiodactyla; Suidae
Description: lncRNA (ENSSSCG00000061767.1)
Source: RNAcentral